CCUACGGGUGGCUGCAGUGGGGAAUUUUCCGCAAUGGGCGAAAGCCUGACGGAGCAAUACCGCGUGAGGGAGGAAGGCUCUUGGGUUGUAAACCUCUUUUCUCAGGGAAGAAAAAAAUGACGGUACCUGAGGAAUAAGCAUCGGCUAACUCCGUGCCAGCAGCCGCGGUAAUACGGAGGAUGCAAGCGUUAUCCGGAAUGAUUGGGCGUAAAGGGUCCGCAGGUGGCAUUGUAAGUCUGCUGUUAAAGAGUCACGCUCAACGUGAUAAAAGCAGUGGAAACUACAAAGCUAGAGUGUGGUCGGGGCAGAGGGAAUUCCUGGUGUAGCGGUGAAAUGCGUAGAUAUCAGGAAGAACACCGGUGGCGAAGGCGCUCUGCUAGGCCAAAACUGACACUGAGGGACGAAAGCUAGGGGAGCGAAUGGGAUUAGAUACCCAAGUAGUC
This 443-nucleotide ribosomal RNA is filed under the name uncultured bacterium. RNAcentral describes it as "bacterial SSU rRNA". It matches the Rfam family "Bacterial small subunit ribosomal RNA", at positions 338 to 795 of the family's 1533-position model. The record is from RNAcentral.